This 344-nucleotide ribosomal RNA is filed under the name uncultured bacterium. Its description in RNAcentral is "bacterial SSU rRNA". It matches the Rfam family "Bacterial small subunit ribosomal RNA", at positions 534 to 874 of the family's 1533-position model. The record is from RNAcentral.
GCAAGCGUUGUUCGGAUUUACUGGGCGUAAAGGGCGCGUAGGCGGCCANCACAAGUCAGUUGUGAAAUCUCCGNGCUUAACUCGGAAAGGUCAACUGAUACUGUGCGGCUAGAGUGCNGAAGGUGCAACUGGAAUUCUUGGUGUAGCGGUGAAAUGCGAAGAUAUCNAGAGGAACACCUGCGGCGAAGGCGGGUUGCUGGGCUGACACUGACGCUGAGGCGCGAAAGCUAGGCGAGCGAACGGGAUUAGAUACCCCGGUAGUCCUNGCCUUAAACGAUGAAUGCUUGGUGUCUGGGGUUAUAUAGUCCCCGGGUGCCGCCGCUAACGCUUUAAGCAUUCCGCCU